RNAcentral lists this ribosomal RNA (253 nucleotides) under uncultured bacterium. RNAcentral's name for it is "partial 16S ribosomal RNA". It matches the Rfam family "Bacterial small subunit ribosomal RNA", at positions 524 to 776 of the family's 1533-position model. The record is from RNAcentral.
UACGGAGGAUGCAAGCGUUAUCCGGAAUGAUUGGGCGUAAAGCGUCCGCAGGCGGCUAUGUAAGUCUGCUGUCAAAGCGUCUGGCUCAACCAGAUAAAGGCAGUGGAAACUACAUAGCUAGAGUAAGGUAGGGGUAGAGGGAAUUCCUGGUGUAGCGGUGAAAUGCGUAGAGAUCAGGAAGAACACCCGUGGCGAAAGCGCUCUGCUGGACCUUAACUGACGCUGAGGGCCGAAAGCUAGGGGAGCGAAUGGG